GCGCCUGUACCCCAGCUGGCUAGAGGGGUGCGGUUUAGGUCCGCAUUGUCGUGGGUUCGAGUCCCACCGGGCGCA
Molecule: transfer RNA, 75 nt
Filed under: Kitasatospora gansuensis
Lineage: Bacteria; Bacillati; Actinomycetota; Actinomycetes; Kitasatosporales; Streptomycetaceae
Description: tRNA-Leu
Rfam family: tRNA
About the family: Transfer RNA (tRNA) molecules are approximately 80 nucleotides in length. Their secondary structure includes four short double-helical elements and three loops (D, anti-codon, and T loops).
Source: RNAcentral